GGGACUCCCUUUGCUCGGGGAUUUCUUUGUGGGGGAAGAGAGCACUGUCAGUUUAAUGCCAGGGGAACUGCACAGGAGAAAGGAAGUUAAAAAUAGUGCUGGGGAAGGGUUAUCCUAUAGCCCUGAGUAGGAGGGGACGGAGGGGCUGUGCUCCUCAUGGUGCCCUAUGGUGCAGAAGGGGAUGUGCACACCCUGCAGUCUGACCUGGUGGUUCUUUGAGGACAGAUUGGAGACUUCUGACCCCGUGUGUCUGCAAGGUAAGUGUGAGAACUGGGCUUCAGCUGAGCCUGGCAGGGAGGGUGACACUCUUCCCAAAGCUGCUGUGCCGGAGCACUUUGUUGACGUUCUCCAUUGUGUUACUGCAGCAUUUGUUGGAGUGAUAGCAAACAUGAGAGGGAAGAGGAGCAGCUCGGGGUGGGGGGUGUGAGUCUGCGAGAAGGGCAACAAGUCAGAAAGUGCACGAGGAAGCUUUCACUCUUCUCGGCACCGAACUGCUGGUGAACUGUGAGCUUGCACUUUGGUUAGGAAGUGAUUAUUGGAAUUAAACAGGAAAGAUACAAUCUUAAUAUUCCAUGGGAGCUGCCAAUACAAAUAUCUAUCAGCAGAUAUGUAAGAGAAUAGCUUCAAAAUAAAAGGAAAAUGAAUUACGUUUCUGAAGGAGAGUGAUGUCAGCCCCAAACCAAGCUAUAUAUAUUCUUUGUAUCUGAAAUUGAAACCACGUGAACUCUCCAUGCAGAGCUGGGUGAAACUCUGCUUUUCCACGUUUCCCCUUAGGGAUGAGGGAUGUUAUUCUCUGGUUUUAAUUUGGGAGUAAUAAAUAAGCGUGAUGGAUUUGCCACCCAAUGGCGGCUGUGGAGCUGCGCACAGCUCAGUGCAGGGAGUGCUGCAGAAGUGGUGCCAAAGGUGUAUCCCUACUGCUGGUGCUGCCAUCAGAAAGGAAAGAGGUGCCAGGUGAACUGGGCAAGGGGCAGGUCAGAGAGCAGGGAAAUCUGUCUUAUCUCUGCAUCCAAAAUGUCCUUCUGGCUGCACAGGGUCGUAGAAUGCACACAGUGAAUUAUAUGGCAAAAUAUCCAGUGGUCUUUUUCAAUAGGGAAAGAAAGAAAGCAGGCGGGGAUUUAAGAGACAAAGCAGUUCAACUCGCUGGUUCCUUUCUGUUUGCAAAUGGGGACAUUUCUGAUGAGAUCCAAAAACCACUCCAAACCUUCAAAAUUAGCAAACAACCAUCUGGCCUGGUGGCUCAGCGCCUUCCGUGGCCAUAAAUCCACAGCCCUGCAAUGUUAACAGGGGAUUUGCUCUGAAAAAAACCCCAGAAUAAUGGGAAAACAAGGCAGGAUGGGGUGGGAUGGCUGUUGGAAUCUGCAGGGUUCAGCUGAGCAUUGUGGGGUCAGUGAUCUGCACACAGCUUUGGACUCUGUGUGGGAACCCCUGGCAUGGAAUGGGGAGCUGCAGGGAAGUGCCAGUUCCAGUGCUCUGUGCAAUGCUUUGGUCUGAGCUCCUCCCCUGCACUGCUGGAUUAUUUUAGCUAAGAUAAUCUAAAGAUACCUAUAAAGUAGGAAUAAAGAGGUAAUACCACCGGAAGAGCCCCAAAAUACUCUCAAGACUUAUGGGCACGAUGGCUCCAAGGAUCUCAAACAGCCCUUGGUGCACAGCAUCAGCCUGCACCCACUCCCUGCCCUGCACAAUGAAUGUUCCCUUCCUCACCCUCAUCCUGCAUCCCACAUCCUGCAGACUUCAGGCUCUCCCAGAUACUGCAGGGCUGAUGAAAAUCACUCUGGAGCUCAACACUGAUGCAAAUGCAAAGACCUUUUGCUCUUGCAUUCAAUCAGAAAAUAGUUCUGCAUACUGCUGGUACAGAGCUGGGGCUGCUCAGCCUUAGUGCCUGUCUGCAGCUCCCUCUGAGGAGGGGUUUGUGGUUCUGGACGAGAGCUGUGCCCCCCUUUCUCUCUCUUGCAGCCUCAGUGUCUGCCCGGUGCCCAGCCUGGCACAGCAGAGAGCUCUGGGCAGGUUUUGAGUGUGGAGCUGUGGAUGCCUGGAUGAGCUGUAAGGCACAACUUGAGCAAAGCAGUAACAAAGAGCAUCGUGAGCAGAGCGUGAUGCUGCGGAUCAGUUCACGGUCUCUUCAGAAGGAUGGGAGGCACUUCCAGCGCUGUGAUAGGAACUGUGGGAUGGGAACAAGGAACGGGCCUCUGGAAAUGCUGAAGUAGCAGAAAAAUGCCGGCAUAGAGAUGGAAAAAAACCAAAACCAUCCGGGUGUCACCAAAUGCGAACUGAAAUGUACGGCGAUAAUGGGAGCAAAGCCAGGCCGAUUAUAUUUGCGGGUUAUUUAGCCGCACCGACAACACCUCGGGCUCUCGUUGGAGGACGCACCGCCCGAAGCACCCCGGCCUCUGCCUGCCACCUGGAGGCCGGAGCCUGCAAACAGCUUUUCCUGCAGCCCCCCUCGUUGUGCACGCAGCAUACGGGCACGUUCUGGAUGCAGCCCCCCGGUAUCCCAUCCCAGCCGUUCUCCUUCCCAGCAGCGCGCUCCUACUGGGCAGCAGCGCGAAGCGCUCUCCUUGUUCCCCAUCAUCGCACCAAAAGGUUUUUCCUCCCCGUUUUUUUUCUUCCUGCGUGUUCUCCCGGGGGCGACAAUGCGGAAUUUCCUCUGAAACUCGAGCAGAGGGAAGGAAAUGAACCUUCUUUGUUCCCCCCCCCCCCGCUUCCCUUUGUAAAGUAAUUAUCUUCUGCUCCUGCGAAGUGCCGUAGUAAGCAGCUUUGCAAGUUUUGAGUUGAAGCAAUGUGAUUCUCAGCGCCAUUUGCACGGAGCCGGGAUGUGAUCGCUGUCGCUGAGGCAGCUGCUGAAUCCCCGUGAGGGUUUUUGUCCCGGUUUUAUGUUGGAAAAUAGGGAUAAUUAUCACUGUUCCUGAAGGAGAGGUGGAAAAUGUUUGCCCCUAAGAACUGCUGGCUGUGUAGGUCUGCUUUACUCCAGCUGUAACUUAAUUCAUGACCUGUAAAAGCAAUCAAUGUGUCUUUUUUUUUUGAUAAACUAAAAAUAAAAGGGUGUUAUUUAUAAGAUCAGA
Non-coding RNA from Coturnix japonica (Japanese quail), 3059 nucleotides. NCBI's taxonomy places the organism in Eukaryota, Metazoa, Chordata, Aves, Galliformes, Phasianidae. The record is from RefSeq and is a predicted model, not a curated record.